Molecule: ribosomal RNA, 239 nt
Filed under: Klebsiella pneumoniae
Lineage: Bacteria; Pseudomonadati; Pseudomonadota; Gammaproteobacteria; Enterobacterales; Enterobacteriaceae
Description: partial 23S ribosomal RNA
Rfam family: Bacterial large subunit ribosomal RNA
Source: RNAcentral
CCUUUACUAUAGCUUGACACUGAACAUUGAGCCUUGAUGUGUAGGAUAGGUGGGAGGCUUUGAAGCGUGGACGCCAGUCUGCGUGGAGCCAACCUUGAAAUACCACCCUUUAAUGUUUGAUGUUCUAACGUUGGCCCCUUACCGGGGUUGCGGACAGUGUCUGGUGGGUAGUUUGACUGGGGCGGUCUCCUCCCAAAGCGUAACGGAGGAGCACGAAGGUUAGCUAAUCCUGGUCGGAC